CAAUGGUGACGCAGGCUCGGGUGGCGCGCGCCACGGGGGAGGGGAAUAAAGGGAUUAAAAGACUCUUGGGAGAAAGAACCCCUUGGAUUAAUACCCCGUGCCCCUGACGGUACCCGGAGAAUAAGCACCGGCUAACUACGUGCCAGCAGCCGCGGUAAUA
This 160-nucleotide ribosomal RNA is filed under the name uncultured Thiomonas sp. RNAcentral describes it as "partial 16S ribosomal RNA". The record is from RNAcentral. Lineage: Bacteria; Pseudomonadati; Pseudomonadota; Betaproteobacteria; Burkholderiales.